UACGAAGGGGGCUAGCGUUGUUCGGAAUCACUGGGCGUAAAGGGCGCGUAGGCGGCCUGGCAAGUCGGGGGUGAAAGCCUGUGGCUCAACCACAGAAUGGCCUUCGAUACUGCUGGGCUUGAGACCGGAAGAGGUCAGUGGAACUGCGAGUGUAGAGGUGAAAUUCGUAGAUAUCCGCAAGAACACCAGUGGCGAAGGCGGCUGACUGGUCCGGUUCUGACGCUGAGGCGCGAAAGCGUGGGGAGCAAACAGG
RNAcentral lists this ribosomal RNA (253 nucleotides) under uncultured bacterium. RNAcentral describes it as "partial 16S ribosomal RNA". It matches the Rfam family "Bacterial small subunit ribosomal RNA", at positions 524 to 776 of the family's 1533-position model. The record is from RNAcentral.